RNAcentral lists this ribosomal RNA (475 nucleotides) under uncultured bacterium. RNAcentral describes it as "bacterial SSU rRNA". It matches the Rfam family "Bacterial small subunit ribosomal RNA", at positions 28 to 507 of the family's 1533-position model. The record is from RNAcentral.
GACGAACGCUGGCGGCGUGCUUCAGACAUGCAAGUCGAGCGGGCGGAGGUCGAACCGCAAGGGGAGGCUGAAGCUAGCGGCGAACGGGUGAGUAACACGUGGGUAAUCUACCCGGAAGACUGGGAUAACGGCCCGAAAGGGCCGCUAAUACCGGAUAAUAUCGCGGUCUCGCAUGAGGCUGCGAAGAAAGGCGAAAGCCACUUUCGGAUGAGCCCGCGACCCAUCAGCUAGUUGGUGAGGUAACGGCUCACCAAGGCGACGACGGGUAGCCGGUCUGAGAGGAUGGUCGGCCACACUGGGACUGAGAUACGGCCCAGACUCCUACGGGAGGCAGCAGUCGGGAAUAUUGGGCAAUGGGCGAAAGCCUGACCCAGCGACGCCGCGUGAGGGAAGAAGGCCUUCGGGUCGUAAACCUCUGUCAUCGGGGACGAAGGAAGUGACGGUACCCGAGGAGGAAGCCCCUGCUAACUACGUG